Molecule: ribosomal RNA, 292 nt
Filed under: uncultured bacterium
Lineage: Bacteria
Description: partial 16S ribosomal RNA
Rfam family: Bacterial small subunit ribosomal RNA
Source: RNAcentral
GUGCCAGCCGCCGCGGUAAGACGGAGGGGGCAAGCGUUGUCCGGAAUUACUGGGCGUAAAGAGCUCGUAGGCGGUCGCAUACGGCGGUGGUGAAAGCUCCCGGCUCAACUGGGAGAGGCCCGCCGCAACGGUGCGACUCGAGGAUGGUAGAGGCAGAUGGAAUUCCUGGUGUAGCGGUGAAAUGCGUAGAGAUCAGGAGGAACACCCGUGGCGAAGGCGGUCUGCUGGGCCAUUUCUGACGCUGAGGAGCGAAAGCUAGGGGAGCGAACGGGAUUAGAUACCCUGGUAGUCC